AUGGAUCUGAGAACGCUGUCUGGGCUUGGUGCCAAGUGCUGGUAUUUCACAGCAGCGACCGCCUCACAGACGGGCUGUGGGAAGCAGGAGGGAGACUCUCUUAGGGUGCCACUACUAUGGAGACACAGCUGGGCUGAACAAGAUUUGCUUCAAACGACAACAAGAGAGACAGAAAGUAUCUGGUUCAACCGCUGCCCAAGCAGGCAGGCACCAGAAGAGCUAGCAGCCAAUCCGGCCAUGCUCGAAGCCAGCUCUGCAGCUCAGCCAAUCAGUGACAUCACUGCAGUUUUAUUUAAACUGCCUGUGAUGGUAUGAAGAUAAGAAUGAAUAUCAAUACUUAACCAGCACUUCUUUUGAAGAAAAUAUUCUGGAAAUCAGGUAAAAAUAAUACAAAUAAUUUUAGGAAUGCAAUUUCCCUUUGUAAAAAUAAACUAUUUUCUU
RNAcentral lists this long non-coding RNA (441 nucleotides) under Capra hircus (goat). Its description in RNAcentral is "lncRNA (ENSCHIG00000005657.1)". The record is from RNAcentral. Lineage: Eukaryota; Metazoa; Chordata; Mammalia; Artiodactyla; Bovidae.